This 511-nucleotide ribosomal RNA is filed under the name Heptagenia sulphurea. RNAcentral describes it as "partial 16S ribosomal RNA". It matches the Rfam family "Bacterial large subunit ribosomal RNA", at positions 1831 to 2601 of the family's 2925-position model. Lineage: Eukaryota; Metazoa; Arthropoda; Insecta; Ephemeroptera; Heptageniidae. The record is from RNAcentral.
CGCCUCUUGUAUGAAUAGGAGGUCUAGCCUGCCCACUGAAAAUUAAAGGGCCGCGGUAUUUUGACCGUGCAAAGGUAGCAUAAUCAUUAGUCUUCUAAUUAAAGGCUGGAAUGAAUGGUUGGACGAGGUAUUAGCUGUCUCUUUGGAAUUAAUUUGAAUUUAACUUUCUAGUGAAAAGGCUGGAAUAAUAUUGGAGGACGAGAAGACCCUAUAGAGCUUUAUAUUUGUCUUUAUUUUAAUUUAUUUGGUAGGAGUGUAAUUUUGUAGGGAGAAUAUUUCGUUGGGGUGACGGGAAGAUAAGAUAAACUCUUCUUAAAAUAAAACACGAAUGUGUGAUUUAGUUGAUCCAUUAUUAAUGAUUAAAAGACUAAGUUACCUUAGGGAUAACAGCGUAAUCUUUUUUGAGAGUUCUAAUCGACAAAAAGGGUUGCGACCUCGAUGUUGGACUAAGGGUUAUUCUUGGGUGUAGCAGUUCAAGGUUUAGGUCUGUUCGACCUUUGAAUCCUUACAU